Molecule: ribosomal RNA, 250 nt
Filed under: uncultured prokaryote
Description: partial 16S ribosomal RNA
Rfam family: Bacterial small subunit ribosomal RNA
Source: RNAcentral
UACGGAGGAUGCGAGCGUUAUCCGGAUUUAUUGGGUUUAAAGGGUGCGUAGGCGGCCGAGUAAAUCAGCGGUGAAAUUUUGCAGCUUAACUGUAACAGUGCCGUUGAUACUGCAUGGCUAGGAUUUGGUUGCUGUGGGUGGAAUGUGUGGUGUAGCGGUGAAAUGCUUAGAUAUCACACAGAAUAUCAAUUGCGAAGGCAGCUCACAAAGCCAAGAUUGACGCUGAGGCACGAAAGUGUGGGGAGUCAAA